RNAcentral lists this transfer RNA (72 nucleotides) under Bos taurus (domestic cattle). It matches the Rfam family "tRNA". From Rfam's summary of the family: Transfer RNA (tRNA) molecules are approximately 80 nucleotides in length. RNAcentral also lists the same sequence under 5 other names. Lineage: Eukaryota; Metazoa; Chordata; Mammalia; Artiodactyla; Bovidae. The record is from Rfam by way of RNAcentral.
UCCCUGGUAGCUCAGAUGGUAAAGAAUCUGCCUGCAAUGCAGGAGACCCGGGUUCGAUCCCUGGGUUGGGUA